This 253-nucleotide unclassified non-coding RNA is filed under the name uncultured Pseudobdellovibrionaceae bacterium. RNAcentral's name for it is "uncultured Bdellovibrionaceae bacterium contains 16S-23S intergenic spacer region". It matches the Rfam family "Bacterial small subunit ribosomal RNA", at positions 524 to 776 of the family's 1533-position model. Lineage: Bacteria; Pseudomonadati; Bdellovibrionota; Bdellovibrionia; Bdellovibrionales; Pseudobdellovibrionaceae. The record is from RNAcentral.
UACGGAGGCCCCGAGCGUUGUUCGGAUUUACUGGGCGUAAAGCGAGUGUAGGUGGCGAGAUAAGUCAGAUGUGAAAGCCCUAGGCUUAACCUAGGAUGUGCAUUUGAUACUGUUUUGCUUGAGUGCGGUAGAGGAAAUUGGAAUUCCAGGUGUAGGGGUGAAAUCCGUAGAUAUCUGGAGGAAUACCAAUGGUGAAGGCAGAUUUCUAGCCCGUAACUGACACUGAGACUCGAAAGCGUGGGGAGCAAACAGG